RNAcentral lists this long non-coding RNA (400 nucleotides) under Cairina moschata (Muscovy duck). RNAcentral describes it as "domestica (muscovy Duck (domestic type)) lncRNA (ENSCMMG00000001433.1)". The record is from RNAcentral. Lineage: Eukaryota; Metazoa; Chordata; Aves; Anseriformes; Anatidae.
AUGGGUUGGGUGCAGGAUUGAGAACAAGGCUUUGACUUUCUAAGCCUUGUUCUGAUGGUUUCUUUCUGAAGUGCAGGUUUUUCCUGCUUGCAUCUCCAUCUCCAAUAAAAGCUGAAUGUGUUAUCUGUGCUCAGGAGGCAAGUCUGCAAAAACAGUUGUGCUGGACUUCGGAGCAAAGAAGUGGGGACCAGGAGGAGAAAAAAAAUGGAGUGCAACCCUCCAUCGCCUUCAAGGAAAUGGUCACUGCUGCCUGCAAAAUUCCCCUUCCCAGCCCCAGUGUCCUGCUGGUUCUAUUGUGGGAAGUGACAUGAGGAUGAAGGGGGACCUCAAGCCCAUGGGGCCAUAUUUUUCAACCCUGGAAUGGUAGGGACUCCACCAAGUCCCAGAGACCUUCCUCCUU